CGGAGGGUGCAAGCGUUAUCCGGAUUUAUUGGGUUUAAAGGGUCCGUAGGCGGAUCCGUAAGUCAGUGGUGAAAUCUCACAGCUUAACUGUGAAACUGCCAUUGAUACUGCGGGUCUUGAGUAAGGUAGAAGUGGCUGGAAUAAGUAGUGUAGCGGUGAAAUGCAUAGAUAUUACUUAGAACACCAAUUGCGAAGGCAGGUCACUAUGUCUUAACUGACGCUGAUGGACGAAAGCGUGGGGAGCGAACAGGAUUAGAUACCCUGGUAGUCCACGCCGUAAACGAUACUAACUCGUUUUUGGGCUUUCGGGUUCAGAGACUAAGCGAAAGUGAUAAGUUAGCCACCUGGGGAGUACGUUCGCAAGAAUG
RNAcentral lists this ribosomal RNA (368 nucleotides) under uncultured organism. Its description in RNAcentral is "bacterial SSU rRNA". It matches the Rfam family "Bacterial small subunit ribosomal RNA", at positions 526 to 896 of the family's 1533-position model. The record is from RNAcentral.